This 795-nucleotide ribosomal RNA is filed under the name Triticum aestivum (bread wheat). Its description in RNAcentral is "partial small subunit ribosomal RNA". The record is from RNAcentral. Lineage: Eukaryota; Viridiplantae; Streptophyta; Magnoliopsida; Poales; Poaceae.
AUGGCUGGCGAAGGCAUCUCGAUAGAUGAAUUUAUGGAGUACGACUCGAUGGUCAGGCAGACAUUUAAAAGUGAGAACGAAGCGUACAAGUUCUACUUAGGGUAUGCGAAGAACAAAGGGUUUGGUGUUAGAAAGGGCGAUCUGAAAUAUAAGGGAAACAAGGAAAAUGCAUACCGGAGGACGUUUGUGUGUUGCAAACAAGGAUAUCGUGACGUAAAGCACUUUGAUGAAACCGACAAGAAAAGGACGCCAAGGGCACUCUUUCGGUGUGGUUGUCCUGCUCUUUUGCAGGUUGAGCUUCAAGCAAGCACUGGAUUGUGGUUUGUAAAGAAUUUUGUUGACCAACAUAGCCAUCCAUUCAUAAAUCCUGAGUUGUCACCUUUCUUGUGGUCUCAUCGUGGCAUGACCGAUCCACAGAAGGCGGAUGUCAUUGAGUACUCGGUUGGUGGACUUCGCACACAUCAGAUAAUGGAUGUGAUGGAGAAGCAGGCUGGUGGUUUGGGCAAGGUUGGAUUUAUAUCUCGCGAUCUGUAUAACCAUGUCGCGUUGGAGAAGAAGAAAAAGAUAGAAGGUAGCGAUGCUCAAUUUAUGCUGAACUACAUGACAGCACAACAGAUGAAAGACCCAGAUUUUUUUACAGAUACACCACAGACAGUGAUGGGCAUCUGCAGAACAUAUUCUGGGCAGACGCCCAAUCUCGCUUGGACUAUGUUGAAUUUGGUGGUGUGGUGGUGUUUGACAGCACAUACCGGUCAAACAAAUAUAGGUUGCCGUUUGUUCCAUUUGUGGGACUGA